AAGUCGUAACAAGGUUUCCGUAGGUGAACCUGCGGAAGGAUCAUUAACAAGUCCUGCUGCGUGUGCAAGAUUAAUAUUUUGCAUGCGCACAUCCGUUCCAUGCACAUUGUGCAUGACAUUUCUGCGAAUCCUCUGAUUGUCGCCUCCAACUAAUACAAAACUUUUAACAAUGGAUCUCUAGGCUCUU
RNAcentral lists this unclassified non-coding RNA (187 nucleotides) under Rozellomycota sp. Its description in RNAcentral is "Cryptomycota sp. partial contains small subunit ribosomal RNA, internal transcribed spacer 1, and 5.8S ribosomal RNA". The stretch from base 1 to 46 matches the Rfam family "Eukaryotic small subunit ribosomal RNA", at positions 1786 to 1831 of the family's 1831-position model. Lineage: Eukaryota; Fungi; Rozellomycota. The record is from RNAcentral.